AGUAAAAGUCGUAACAAGGUUUCCGUAGGUGAACCUGCGGAAGGAUCAUUAACGAGUUUGAAAGGGGUUGUAGCUGGCCUUCACCGGCACGUGCACGCCCCACUCAUCCACUCUACACCUGUGCACUCACUGUGGGUUUCGAGCGAUCGUGCGGGGGCUUGCUCUCGUGCGGUUUAUCGGGCCUACGUUUAUCACAAACUCUUCAGUAUCAGAAUGUGUAUCGCGAUGUAACGCAUCUAUAUACAACUUUCAGCAACGGAUCUCUUGGCUCUCGCAUCGAUGAAGAACGCAGCGAAAUGCGAUAAGUAAUGUGAAUUGCAGAAUUCAGUGAAUCAUCGAAUCUUUGAACGCACCUUGCGCUCCUUGGUAUUCCGAGGAGCAUGCCUGUUUGAGUGUCGUGUAAUUCUCAACCUAUAAACCCUUGCGGUUUUGUAGGCUUGGACUUGGAGGCCUUUGCCGGCUUUGCGGUCGGCUCCUCUCAAAUGCAUUAGCUCGAUUCCUUGCGGAUCGGCUCUCGGUGUGAUAAUUAUCUGCGCCGUGACCGUGAAGCGUUUGGCGGGCUUCUAAACCGUCUCUCUGAGACACUUACUUUGACAUCUGACCUCAAAUCAGGUAGGACUACCCGCUGAACUUAAGCAUAUCAAUAAGCGGAGGA
This 655-nucleotide ribosomal RNA is filed under the name uncultured fungus. RNAcentral describes it as "eukaryotic LSU rRNA". The stretch from base 245 to 398 matches the Rfam family "5.8S ribosomal RNA". The record is from RNAcentral. Lineage: Eukaryota; Fungi.